AUGGCCAAAAGUGGACGACUAGUCCUUCUCAAAUCGGCACUAUCGACAUUAGCAACUUACAUGCUUUCAGUACACCGACUUCCUGUCUGGGUUAUGAAGCGUUUGGUCAAAAAAUUUCGGGCGUGGCUUUGGGCUGGCGAGCAGGACUGUAAUGCAGGCAAAUGCCAUGUGAGCUGGGCACUUCUCAGCAGGCCAAAGGAGCUUGGUGGGCUGGGUGUACUUGACCUCACAAAAUUUGGUCGAGCUCUAAGGCUGAGAUGGUUGUGGUACGCUUGGUCGACACCUGAGAGGCCCUGGGUUGGCUCACAAUUACCCUGCGACGAGAUCGACCAUGAGCUGUUUGCAAUGGCAACUGAUAUUACGAUAGGAUGUGGGAAUCUAGCGCGCUUUUGGCACGAUAGGUGGCUCAAUGGGUUAACACCAAAGAGGAUCGCGUCGCGGCUAUUCUCCAUGGCCUCCUGA
This 462-nucleotide ribosomal RNA is filed under the name Triticum aestivum (bread wheat). RNAcentral's name for it is "partial small subunit ribosomal RNA". The record is from RNAcentral. Lineage: Eukaryota; Viridiplantae; Streptophyta; Magnoliopsida; Poales; Poaceae.